Dermochelys coriacea (leatherback sea turtle) is the source of this 761-nucleotide long non-coding RNA. RefSeq lists it as uncharacterized. The transcript is spliced from 3 exons. Lineage: Eukaryota; Metazoa; Chordata; Testudines; Dermochelyidae. The record is from RefSeq and is a predicted model, not a curated record.
CUAGAGAGGGGACAUGCUGCUGCUUCCAGGAGCUGCUUGAGACAGUGUUAUCUCAAAAGCACUUUAUGCUUCAGGCUUCUAAAGCAACACAGUUUAAAAAAACAAGCUGAAAAGUUGAGUUCUUGCAGGGGGAAUCCCCCGAGCUGUGGACAAUACCUGCUGCUUUUGGCUCAGGAUUAUUAGGACAUCCCAGGCUUUGAAGGUCCCAAAGAUCAAGUGAAAAAACAGAAACAAAUCAACAAUGUGAAAAACUUUGCAAAUCUGGAAAACCAACCCCAGCACAAUGCGAUUUGGCAGAGAAACGUCUUAUUUCAGCUAGAACAUCCCCUCUUCUCUUCAAGUCUGGGUCUCACAGCUACUUGGCUAUAAUUUACAGACAUCCACUGUGCCUUUUCCAGCACAAUAGAAUACAGCCAGCUAUAUUACCACGGGAGGAUUCAUGCCAGACAGCAGUAUUCCGGCUUGGAGCCUGCAGAGGGAAGUGAUCCUGCAUGAAAGUCAGAAGUGUUCCCAGAAACAACAAAACUAGAUGGCCUAUUUCUUAUGAGGUUAGAUGAACCAAAUUAGGGUUUAUGAUUAAUUCCAGGUCUACAUACAGAAAAUUCCUCCAGCAGAUCGAAAAAGGCCCUUUGCGCUGCUGCUCUAAGCCCUGGUCUACUUGACGAGUUGAGGUCAAAUUUAGCAGCGUUAGAUCGAUUUAACCCUGCACCCAUCCACACAAUUAAGCCAUUUUUUCCAACUUAAAGGGCUCUUAAAAUCGA